This 247-nucleotide ribosomal RNA is filed under the name uncultured bacterium. RNAcentral's name for it is "partial 16S ribosomal RNA". It matches the Rfam family "Bacterial small subunit ribosomal RNA", at positions 524 to 771 of the family's 1533-position model. The record is from RNAcentral.
UACGAAGGGGGCUAGCGUUGCUCGGAAUCACUGGGCGUAAGCGCACGUAGGCGGAUCUUUAAGUCAGGGGUGAAAUCCCAAGGCUCAACCUUGGAACUGCCUUUGAUACUGAGGAUCUUGAGUUCGGGAGAGGUGAGUGGAGCUGCGAGUGUAGAGGUGAAAUUCGUAGAUAUUCGCAAGAACACCAGUGGCGAAGGCGGCUCACUGGCCCGAUACUGACGCUGAGGCACGAAAGCGUGGGGAGCAA